CUACGGGUUGCUCCAGUGGGGAAUAUUGGACAAUGGGGGAAACCCUGCUCCAGCAAUGCCGCGUGUGUGAAGAAGUCCUGCGGGUUGUAAAGCACUUUCGGUUGGGAGGACUGCUUCUAGCACUAAUAUUGUUGGAAGUUGACGUUACCUUCAGAAGAAGCACCGGCUAACUCCGUGCCAGCAGCCGCGGUGAUACGGAGGGUGCAAGCGUUAAUCGGAAGUACUGGGCGUAAAGCGCGCGUAGGCGGCUAGAUCAGUCGGGUGUGAAAGCCCCGGGCUUAACCUGGGAACUGCAUCCGAUACUGUCUAGCUUGAGUACAGGAGAGGAGAGUGGAAUUCCACAUGUAGCGGUGAAAUGCGUAGAUAUGUGGAGGAACACCAAUGGCGAAGGCAGCUCUCUGGCCUGAUACUGACGCUGAGGUGCGAAAGCGUGGGGAGCAAACAGGAUUAGAUACCCUAGUAGUC
RNAcentral lists this ribosomal RNA (465 nucleotides) under uncultured bacterium. RNAcentral's name for it is "partial 16S ribosomal RNA". It matches the Rfam family "Bacterial small subunit ribosomal RNA", at positions 339 to 795 of the family's 1533-position model. The record is from RNAcentral.